This 2411-nucleotide long non-coding RNA is filed under the name Rattus norvegicus (Norway rat). Its description in RNAcentral is "similar to PGC7 (LOC501003)". The record is from RNAcentral. Lineage: Eukaryota; Metazoa; Chordata; Mammalia; Rodentia; Muridae.
UCUCAGUUCUGAAUCUCAGUAGAGACUUCUCAAUCAACACCUGGGAUAAUACACACUGCUCGAUUUUGGUUGUGGUAAACAAUUAAAAUGGGAAAUAAUUGUUCAUGUCAAGAGAACAUCCAGACGACCGUUCCAAGAGAAGAGACAGUCCCAAGAGAAGACACGGUCCCAAGAGAAGACACAGUCCCAAGGGAAGAGUUGACAAGGCCAGUGAAGGUGGACCCAAGGAAGAAACAUUAUCGUAGGACAAAAAGAAGGCUGAGGAACGUUAAACCCUCAGGAGGCAGUGUAAGAUCUACAGUGGAACCUUAUGGAGAGUUUGGAAACUCUAGCAGCAACAUUGAAGGUGCUCCUUUGAUAAGAACAGAAUUUACAAACAUUGGCUUGAAUAGACACUGCACACUCUCAGACUUGGAGACUGUGUGUACAGCAGAGAAGUCCUGUAGCGCUGCUGAUGGUGCUCCUUUGAUAAGAACAGAAUUUACAAACAUUGGCUUGAAUAGACACUGCACACUCUCAGACUUGGAGACUGUGUGUACAGCAGAGAAGUCCUGUAGCGCUGCUGAUGAUCUUGAUAUGUUUGAAGACAACGUUGAGGAUGAUUUGGAUAUUGAUAUGUUUGAAGAAAAUGCUGAGGAUGACAUGGAUAGGGAGAACAGCCUUCAAAGCGAUGAUCUUGGUGGUGAUACCGAUGGUUUUAAUGAGGUCAACGCUGAGAAUGACUUGCAUGAAGAGAGCAGCCUUGAAAGCAGCUAUGUUAGUAGUAGUGGGUUGUCUGAUAAACACCAGAUGAAGAUUCCCCAAGAAAAGGAGAAAAAUCCAUUGCCAAUUAAGGUCCAGUCAAGGAAGCGCAGAUACCUUAGUGCUAUACUGAGAAGACUGGGACUUAGGCCCACCGAGUCCUCCAGUGUCAGACCUGAAACAGCGACUGUGGCAGUGGCAGAAAAGGCCUGUGGUGCUAGUGAAGAUUUGCACAGGGAGGAGCAAAUGAAGGCCUCAGGAAAAGAAGUAAGACCACCAUUGGCUGAGGUCCGGUCAAGGAAGUGCAGAUGCAUUACUGAUAUGAUGAAGAAACUUGGGAUUCACUGCUCCAUUUCCUUCAUCCACAUUAGAAGACCUGUACCAUUGACUGUGACUGCAGCAGAAAAGGCCCAUGGGACUAAAGUCGACAGAGGUGACGGUGAUGACAACUCCGGCUUCUCUAGUCAUAACCGCUUGAAAAACAAAGACCGCAUUUCUGAAUCGCACAAGGAACAAAUGAAGGCCUCACAAAGAGAGGCAAUACCACCACCGGCUGAGGUCCGGUCAAGGAGGUGGAGAUGCAUUUCUGCAAUCCUGAAAAGACUGGGUUUUGAAGAGAUCAGUUCCCAGAAAGAUCCUGAAAUAAUAGUCCUCUAUACGACAGAAAAGGCCUGCACCACAAACGAUAUCCAUGGCAUGGACGACAGCACUGAGGGCAACUUGACUAGUGGGAGAAUGAAGUAUAAGCGGAACCAAAUGAAGGCCUCACAAGAACAGAAUGACAAAUUGUCACUGAUUAAGGUCCGAUCGAGUACAAGGAGAUGCUUUUCUGCUCUACUGAAGAGACUGGGUCUCAGAUGGGCCCAGGAUGGUGAACACAGCAGCGUACCUCAAAUAAAGACUGUGCUUACAGCCGAAAAGGCCUGUGGUACUCAUGACGAUAUUGAUAUGUUUGAAGACAACGUUGAGGAUGACUUGGGUAGUGAUAUGUUUGAAACAGACACUGAGGAUGACAUGAAUAUUGAUGAUUUGGAUGUGGACGAUUUGGAGGAUGAGUUGGAAAUCCACAAUAUAUAUAAGAGUGACUCUGAGAAUUGCUUGAGUAGUGACGACAGCCUGCACAGCUAUGAAUUUGUUACUGACAGUACUUUUGAAGACUUAAGUGGCAAACAGGAUGACUUGUUCAUAAACGUGAAAAGCACAGGAGCGGUGUAUGGUGUCUAUGACAUUGAGGGCAGAAGUCUGUUCUCAUUAGACAAAAAUGAAUGGCACAGAAGAACCAGAAAGCCAAACUCUGGCUCAGAAGAUGUCAUCCAUGAAAGCUGGAAGGCAGGAAGAAGAAAUCACUAAGCCCUGUCCUGAAGUAAACAGACAUAACCACCAGGGUAUGGGUCAUGAGUUCCCUUACCUUCCUCUUCCAGCACCAGCCCAGUCGUCCCAGCCUGAAGGUCCAAUUGCAUAAAGGGUUGGAACUUCCUGGGUCAGUGCUUCAACGCUGUCUGUUUGUGGCGGGGCCUUCCCCUCGCUUUCUGCUCCUUAGCAUCCAGAGCCACUUUUGGUGUAGUAGCCCCAGGGUAGGAGUGGGUACUGGGUCUGUGCCCAGGAGAAUGGGUUGAGAGUUCCUAAGCUUUUAAUUUUUUUCAAAUAAAAAUAAAUUUAUUUAAAACUGG